GUGGCGAACGGGUGAGUAACACGUGAGCAAUCUGCCCUUGACUCUGGGAUAACUGCGGGAAACUGUAGCUAAUACCGGAUACUUUCCUCGCUGGGCAUCCAGCGGGGAAGAAAGAAUUUCGGUCAAGGAUGAGCUCGCGGCCUAUCAGCUAGUUGGUGAGGUAAAGGCUCACCAAGGCGACGACGGGUAGCCGGCCUGAGAGGGUGACCGGCCACACUGGAACUGAGACACGGUCCAGACUCCUGCGGGAGGCAGCAGUGGGGAAUAUUGCACAAUGGGCGAAAGCCUGAUGCAGCAACGCCGCGUGAGGGAUGAAGGCCUUCGGGUUGUAAACCUCUUUUAGCAGGGAAGAAGCGAAAGUGACGGUACCUGCAGAAAAAGCACCGGCUAACUACGUGCCAGCAGCCGCGGUAAUACGUAGGGUGCAAGCGUUGUCCGGAAUUAUUGGGCGUAAAGAGCUCGUAGGCGGUUUGUCACGUCUGCUGUGAAAAUCCGAGGCUCAACCUCGGACUUGCAGUGGGUACGGGCAGGCUAGAGUGCGGUAGGGGAGAAGGGAAUUCCUGGUGUAGCGGUGGAAUGCGCAGAUAUCAGGAGGAACACCAAUGGCGAAGGCACUUCUCUGGGCCGUAACUGACGCUGAGGAGCGAAAGCGUGGGGAGCGAACAGGAUUAGAUACCCUGGUAGUCCAC
Molecule: ribosomal RNA, 689 nt
Filed under: uncultured Microbacteriaceae bacterium
Lineage: Bacteria; Bacillati; Actinomycetota; Actinomycetes; Micrococcales; Microbacteriaceae
Description: bacterial SSU rRNA
Rfam family: Bacterial small subunit ribosomal RNA
Source: RNAcentral